This 3832-nucleotide unclassified non-coding RNA is filed under the name Hevea brasiliensis (rubber tree). Lineage: Eukaryota; Viridiplantae; Streptophyta; Magnoliopsida; Malpighiales; Euphorbiaceae. The record is from RNAcentral.
GCCGAGGCGAGUUGAGUACUCGAAUAUUGAAUCCCUAACUCGGUACAAAAUAAAACUCAGAACCAAGCUCCUAGCUCUGGGCCUCUGCGUGACAAUGGAGCCAGAAAUUCAGCUGAAAAUUCAGGAAGCAGUAUUCGACAUACUAAAGAAAGCUGACAUGGACGAGAUGACUGAGUUCAAGGUCCGUGUCGCGGCUUCGGAAAGACUCGGUAUCGACCUAUCUGAUAUCCACUGCAAGAGAUUCAUCAGAGGCUUGGUUGAAUCCUUUUUGCUCUCUACAAUGGAGGUAGGUGCCGAGGACGGUAAAGAGGCUGACGCCAUGGAUGGAGUUCAAGUGAAAACCCGAGAAAUGGCACGAGAAGGACAGGAGGCAAUGCAUGAGAAGGAAUUUGAUGGCAUGGGAAAUCACAUUAUUUGUAAGCUAUCGAAGAAAAGGAACGUGGUGAUUCAGGACUUUAAAGGGAAAUCUUCUGUAUGGAUCAGGGAAUUUUAUCAUAAAGAUGGAAGACAGGUUCCUACUAAUAAAGGAAUUAGCUUGACAGCUGAACAAUGGUCAGCCUUUAGGAAGAGUGUCCCUUUAAUAGAAGAAGCCAUUAUGAAGAUGACAUCCAAUUUAAGACUUAAUGGAGAAGCCUCUAAUUUGGCAACUGCUUCUAUGCCGCAUAAUGAACAGGUCUCUACAUCAGUGACUAAUUCUACUCCUAAUGAACAUAAUGGCCAAGUUACUGAUUCAGUGAUUGCAUCUUCUCUUCGUGAAUUUAUUCCUUUUGACAUCAAUCGUUUUGAUGGGAAGAAUUAUCAGUUCUGGGCACCCCAUAUGGAAUUGUUCCUAAAUAAAUUGAAGAUUGCAUAUGUCCUCACUGAUCCAUGCCCUACUGUUGCUAUAAGACCAGAAGCAAGUGCUGAAGAAAUUGCUCAAGCCAAAGCUGCUGAGAAGAAGUGGUUUAAUGAUGAUCAUCUGUGUCGCCACAACAUCUUGUCCUCUCUAUCUGAUGCUCUUUAUUAUCAAUAUUCAAAGAAGACUAAGAGUGCCAGAGAACUUUGGGAAGAACUAAAAUUAGUUUAUCUUUAUGAGGAGUUUGGAAAGAAGAGAUCUCAGGUUAGAAAUUACAUUGAAUUUCAGAUAGUAGAUGAAAGACCAGUUCUUGACCAAGUUCAAGAACUUAAUAACAUUGCAGAUUCUAUUGUUGCUUCUGGAAUGUUUUUUGAUGAGAAGUUUCAUGUUAGUGUCAUUAUUUCCAAGCUUCCCCCAUCAUGGAAAGGCUUCUGCAUCAAGUUAAUGUGUGAGGAAUAUCUGCCUUUUCGGAUGUUGAUGGACCAUGUAAGGAUGGAGGAAGAGUCUCGCAACCAAGAAAAGCAACUGGAGUCUUCCAAUUCUGCAUGCUUUAAUCAUGCCAAGAAUCUAGGACCAAGGAUGAAAGAUGGGAAGAAAGCGAGAUUGAAUGGGAAGAAACGAGAGACAGAUAGAUGACAAGGCUUUGGUCCGCUACUUUUGUGGGAAAAAGGGCAUAUUUCUAAGCACUGUCGUCACCGGAAGUUUGACGAGGAAGCUAAUGAGAAGCUUGACAAGGAGAAAUCAAAUAAGCGUGCAGUUACAGAAGUGAAGGCAGAGCACUGUUAAGUAGCCAAUCAAGGGAGUUAAUGCCUGUUUUGAAUUCUAACAAGGAAAUGCUCUAUUAUUGCUCAUUUGGUGGGUACAGAAGAAGAUUCACGAUACAUAUUUCACGGGAGACUUACCAAAGGCUUUGAGGUGUAUUCCUCCUCCCGUGAGUUUUGCAUUGAUUUGCAAGUUCCAGCUGUUUUUAGCCAUUCUUUGCAAAAGCCAACGGCUAUUGUAGAAUAUUAGAACCAGUAGCUGACGGGGCAAAACGGAUACAGUAUUUACAAGGUCCAUUAUGCAAUUGGCCUAUUGCUCUGACCAGUCACCCUUCUUAAAAUAGAUUUUCUCGUACUACCCGAGCACGGGCCUACUACAGUCUUGUGUUCUUUUUCCUCUCAAAUUUUGUCAGUUUUUCUGUUUGAAAUGCUGUACGCAUCUGUAUAUAAAAUCCUAUACUGAAUUUAGUCAUAGUCUUUAGAGGAGGAUAGAAGUAUAGCCACGGAUUACCAAUGUCAUGAGCACAUUGAUGCACAGUCUCUUUCAAUGGAUCUUGUAAUUUGCUUUGAAAAGUUAAAUGAUCUCUACUUUAGGCUGGUUAUCAGGCGACUGAAAAUUCCUGCGUCCCCACUAUGAAAAUCGGCCACACUGGCUACCGCAUAAGCUUGCGUAUAUCAAACUUGCUCACCAUCUAGUUUCAUCAUUUUCAUUUUCUGAGCUAAGCAAAUCUGCAUAAAAUAGCGGUAAAUUCUCUUACUAAACAACUAUUCCUUGACUCGAUAUUUCAGUUUAAAAGUUGAGCUGAGACCAUACACUUCAAGGGCCUCAAAAAUAUGUGUAAAAUUUCUUGUCAUCCCAAAAAUAAUGUGCACCAACUUUUCUUUACACUGGCCCAGCUUUACCGCGCCAAAAAAUAGGGUGUCCAGCAACAUUUUAUGUUUUCGACUCGCCCAUCAAUUGAGCCUUUGCUUUGUCCAACAAAGAUUGUUCUCUUCUCAUAUCCUCGGCAAUAUUACCUUGUUCCCAUUUCAGCAUCCUAACUGCAUCUUCAAUUUUAGUGUAGUCAGCAGGUAAGCAUCUGCUGGAAAUUACUGGGAAUUUCACCUCUACAUCUGUCCUAUUUCCAAGUGCAAAGACACCAUUUCUCUUGAUCAUCCCGCCAUCUAAAGAGAGGGCUCCAUGAGUUAUGCAUGGAAGAGCAAGUAGCAUUUCCGUCCUGGUUCUGUAUACUUGAAGGUGAGAAAAUAGGGCAUAGAAUAGUGUUUCUCUAAGACCAUGUCCUUUGGCAGUGAUACAAUACAAAUUCCCAUUAUCCAAAUUGAUCAUGUUAACUGCAAAAUCUAGAAAGCCAGUUGGGGAGCUCCCAUCUGGUAGCUUUGGCUUUGAAAGUACAAGCUUCUUUUGAGGAUCAUCAGCUAUAAAACCACCAAUAUAUGGCCUCAAAUCUUCUAGGCAAAUGACAAGAAAUCGGCCAUUAAUUUUCCUUCCAAUAGAAUAUGCAAGACCAUGUAGACCAGCACUGCUGUUUAUUUUGCCCUCCCCAUCAUACUUCUCCAAAGCCUUGACACCUUCAAAUGACCUACAAACUAGUGCCAGCAUGGUCUCCAGUCCCAAGUACUCCGAGAGAAGCCUAUUAAGAUUAUCAUUAUCAACUCUGGCAAGAGUUGCCACAACACCUAGCACAUCCUUAGUCAAUGGCAAAUUUGACAACAGAGUUGCAUGUUGAGUUUUUAUUUGGCACAACAUGGCAGCUGCUGUUAUCUCUUGCUUCAGAAUUUGUUCCGUUGUCUCUUCCUCAUUGCGAGAGCCACCAUUUUUAGUUGCUUUCUGAGGUGUGUUGGUGGAAUGAUACUUCCCAAGGGUCACUUGCAAGUCAAGUAUAGAUUCAUCUAAACGGUUUGCCUCUGACUUCAAAAAUUUUAGGUUGUCUUCAUGCCUUUUGAUAUCUUUCUUCAACAUCUCAAAAUCAACCUAAAUUGCCAUUAAAUGAACCAAUUAGUAACCUACACUUGCAGGCUGACUAGUGCACAAAUAAUUCCAGCAGAUAGCUAUGACAUAAUUCAUUAUCAGAUUAAAGCAGUGAUCAAAAACUUCACAAUCUCAUUCAGCAAGCACCUAGCAGGUAAUCCAAAAAUAAUACAUGUACCACGUGAUUGUUUCAUUUAUUAACAAUUUAUCAUUUGAACUUAAAGGCAUAUGGGAUAGAGUAUGAGGUAUCAAAUUGAUGAACAUACA